UAGGGAAUCUUCGGCAAUGGACGGAAGUCUGACCGAGCAACGCCGCGUGAGUGAAGAAGGUUUUCGGAUCGUAAAGCUCUGUUGUAAGAGAAGAACGAGUGUGAGAGUGGAAAGUUCACACUGUGACGGUAUCUUACCAGAAAGGGACGGCUAACUACGUGCCAGCAGCCGCGGUAAUACGUAGGUCCCGAGCGUUGUCCGGAUUUAUUGGGCGUAAAGCGAGCGCAGGCGGUUAGAUAAGUCUGAAGUUAAAGGCUGUGGCUUAACCAUAGUACGCUUUGGAAACUGUUUAACUUGAGUGCAGAAGGGGAGAGUGGAAUUCCAUGUGUAGCGGUGAAAUGCGUAGAUAUAUGGAGGAACACCGGUGGCGAAAGCGGCUCUCUGGUCUGUAACUGACGCUGAGGCUCGAAAGCGUGGGGAGCAAACAGGAUUAGAUACCCUGGUAGUCCACGCUGUAAACGAUGAGUGCUAGGUGUUAGACCCUUUCCGGGGUUUAGUGCCGUAGCUAACGCAUUAAGCACUCCGCCUGGGGAGUACGACCGCAAGGUUG
Molecule: ribosomal RNA, 550 nt
Filed under: uncultured bacterium
Lineage: Bacteria
Description: bacterial SSU rRNA
Rfam family: Bacterial small subunit ribosomal RNA
Source: RNAcentral